Molecule: small nuclear RNA, 104 nt
Filed under: Octodon degus (degu)
Lineage: Eukaryota; Metazoa; Chordata; Mammalia; Rodentia; Octodontidae
Source: RNAcentral
GUGCUCUCUUCGGCAGCACAUAUACUAAAACUGGAACGAUACAGAGAUUAGGAUGGCCCCUGCGCAAGGAUGACACCCAAAUUCGUGAAACGUUCCAAAUUAUU